GGCCUACCAUGGUGGUAACGGGUAACGGGGUGUUAGGGCACGACACCGGAGAGGGAGCCUGAGAAACGGCUACCACAUCCAAGGAUGGCAGCAGGCGCGCAAAUUACCCAAUCCCGACACGGGGAGGUAGUGACAAUAAAUAACAAUACGGGGUUCUUAAGGAUCUCGUAAUUGGAAUGAGUACAAUUUAAAUCUCUUAACGAGGAACAAUUGGAGGGCAAGUCUGGUGCCAGCAGCCGCGGUAAUUCCAGCUCCAAUAGCGUAUAUUAAAGUUGUUGCAGUUAAAAAGCUCGUAGUUGAAUUUCGGGAUCAAUUUGUCGGUCGUGCCUCGGUACGUACUGGCAUUAUUGGUUUCUACCUUCUGAAGAACCUUGAUGUCAUUAAUUUGGUGUCUUGGGGAAUCAGGACUGUUACUUUGAAAAAAUUAGAGUGUUUAAAGCAGGCAUACGCUUGAAUACAUUAGCAUGGAAUAAUGAAAUAGGACGUUUGAUUCUAUUUUGUUGGUUUCCAGGAUCGACGUAAUGAUUAAUAGGGAUAGUUGGGGGCAUUAGUAUUCAAUUGUCAGAGGUGAAAUUCUUGGAUUUAUUGAAGACUAACUACUGCGAAAGCAUUUGCCAAGGAUGUUUUCAUUAAUCAAGAACGAAAGUUAGGGGAUCGAAGACGAUCAGAUACCGUCGUAGUCUUAACCAUAAACUAUGCCGACUAGGGAUCGGAUGAUGUUAUUUUUAAUGACUCAUUCGGCGCCUUACGGGAAACCAAAGUGUUUGGGUUC
Molecule: ribosomal RNA, 772 nt
Filed under: uncultured Glomus
Lineage: Eukaryota; Fungi; Glomeromycota; Glomeromycetes; Glomerales; Glomeraceae
Description: SSU rRNA
Rfam family: Eukaryotic small subunit ribosomal RNA
Source: RNAcentral